GACAUAGGUGGCGAACGUUAUCCGGAUUUAUUGGGCGUAAAGGAUGCGUAGGCGGCUUGAUAAGUUAUCAGUGGGAAAUCGAGGCUCAACCUCGUGGAAGUUGAUAAUACUGUCCAGCUUGAGUGCAGGAGAGGUUAACGGAACUCCAUGUGGAGCGGUAAAAUGUGACGAUAUAUGGAAGAACACCAAUAAGGCGAAGGCAGUUAACUAUUCUGUUACUGACGUUGAGGCAUGAAAGCGUGGGGAGCAAAACGG
This 255-nucleotide ribosomal RNA is filed under the name uncultured bacterium. Its description in RNAcentral is "partial 16S ribosomal RNA". It matches the Rfam family "Bacterial small subunit ribosomal RNA", at positions 524 to 776 of the family's 1533-position model. The record is from RNAcentral.